RNAcentral lists this ribosomal RNA (438 nucleotides) under Pseudomonas aeruginosa. RNAcentral describes it as "bacterial SSU rRNA". The record is from RNAcentral. Lineage: Bacteria; Pseudomonadati; Pseudomonadota; Gammaproteobacteria; Pseudomonadales; Pseudomonadaceae.
GGAAGGCUUGGGCGGCAGGCCUAACACAUGCAAGUCGAGCGGAUGAAGGGAGCUUGCUCCUGGAUUCAGCGGCGGACGGGUGAGUAAUGCCUAGGAAUCUGCCUGGUAGUGGGGGAUAACGUCCGGAAACGGGCGCUAAUACCGCAUACGUCCUGAGGGAGAAAGUGGGGGAUCUUCGGACCUCACGCUAUCAGAUGAGCCUAGGUCGGAUUAGCUAGUUGGUGGGGUAAAGGCCUACCAAGGCGACGAUCCGUAACUGGUCUGAGAGGAUGAUCAGUCACACUGGAACUGAGACACGGUCCAGACUCCUACGGGAGGCAGCAGUGGGGAAUAUUGACAAUGGGCGAAAGCCUGAUCCAGCCAUGCCKCGUGUGUGAAAAGGUCUUCGGAUUGUAAAGCACUUUAAUUUGGGAGGAAGGGCAGGUAAGUUAAUACCUU